UACGAAGGGGGCUAGCGUUGCUCGGAAUCACUGGGCGUAAAGCGCACGUAGGCGGAUUGUUAAGUCGGGGGUGAAAUCCUGGAGCUCAACUCCAGAACUGCCUUCGAUACUGACGAUCUCGAGUCCGGGAGAGGUGAGCGGAACUCCGAGUGUAGAGGUGAAAUUUGUAGAUAUUCGGAAGAACACCAGUGGCGAAGGCGGCUCACUGGCCCGGUACUGACGCUGAGGUGCGAAAGCGUGGGGAGCAAACAGG
RNAcentral lists this ribosomal RNA (253 nucleotides) under uncultured bacterium. RNAcentral's name for it is "partial 16S ribosomal RNA". It matches the Rfam family "Bacterial small subunit ribosomal RNA", at positions 524 to 776 of the family's 1533-position model. The record is from RNAcentral.